Long non-coding RNA from Arabidopsis thaliana (thale cress), 277 nucleotides. RefSeq annotates it as other RNA. The record is from RefSeq. The transcript has a single exon. NCBI's taxonomy places the organism in Eukaryota, Viridiplantae, Streptophyta, Magnoliopsida, Brassicales, Brassicaceae.
UCUUGACCAAAUCUUUUAGCCUAAACCCAUUACUUUAACUCGUAGACGUAUGUUUCUAGUAUUUGUUAAUUAUAAAAUAAGUGAUGAUGAAGAUAAUGUUAAAUAAUUUCUGUAUCAAAUUUUAUAAUCAAACUUGCUUAUAUUAAAUUUGGAGAUCGUACGAUAUUGAUAAGUUAGGCCACCACUCCGCGAUGAUAUAAGUGGACGACGAUCUAGAAAAUUAAUAAAAACUUUGGUGACGUAUUUAACCUCCCAACCUCCUGAAACAGAGACCACA